GUACUAUUGAACACUAGAUCUGCUCAAACAUACAUGGAAAAUUAUGUAAAGGGAGCAAGGGACUAAGUUUCAAAGAAAGUGCUAUAGUGCUAAUAACAUCAUCUCCAAAUGGCACUUUCCCCCGUUGGGUCCAAACCUAUCGUACCUUCAUCACCACCAUCUCCUCAUACAAAAUUUUCCCUCAAACUUCCUUUUAACCCCUCUCCUUCCCCAAUCCAACCUCGACCACUUUCUCCUCUAUCUCUCUUUCCCCUAAUAUGUUUCCAACCUCCUCCUCCUUUCUCUCUUUCCCUUGCACAUGCUUUCAAUCCUCGCUCAAAACCUUCCCUUUCCUCACCAUCCUUGAAGCCUUUUCUCUCUCUCAGCCUCCCCUUUCUUUCAUCCACCAUCUUCCACCACUUCGCCAUCAUCCUUUCUCCUCUCCUUCUUUCCCCUAGCUAGUGCCACCACCUUCUCUUUCUUCAGCUAUUCCAUGAUGGCUUUCUUCCCCUCCCUUUUCAAUGUUUAUCAAAUAGGGUAAGAGAUUGCUAAGCCAGAUAGAUAUUACAUGGG
Molecule: long non-coding RNA, 552 nt
Filed under: Vigna radiata
Lineage: Eukaryota; Viridiplantae; Streptophyta; Magnoliopsida; Fabales; Fabaceae
Description: long non-coding RNA (VRAD_LNC005991)
Source: RNAcentral